Molecule: long non-coding RNA, 434 nt
Filed under: Salvia miltiorrhiza (redroot sage)
Lineage: Eukaryota; Viridiplantae; Streptophyta; Magnoliopsida; Lamiales; Lamiaceae
Description: long non-coding RNA (SMIL_LNC003799)
Source: RNAcentral
UAUUCUGUUUCUAGUCUUGAGCUAGUUAAUUAUUUUUGAACUUGGCUUCGAAAUAUUUUUAAUCUUGAUCUUUAUCUUGUUUGUUCUUUAAGUGUUUGAUAGCCGUUAUUAGGUGAGAUAGAUAAUUAUUCUCACCAUAUAUCUCUGUUUGAUAGGCUAUAUUGAUAAUCUUUCAAGCCCGCAAAAUUGAUGAAGCCCGCACCAAAAGCACUGUAGCCUUGAGAAAAUACAUCCGCCCCAACCCCCCUGAUCGGUUUUCUCACUUGGAACAGUGAUUGAGAUUAGUUUUGUGUUUCCAAUUUUCUCCCUGAAAUUACUUCAAAAUCGGUACACAGCAAAGAGGAGUUCUUCAGUCGAAUCUCCCUGAAAUUAAUUGUUUGCUUUCGAUACAAAUCUAUUACUCAAUUUGGUGCUUGAGUGUCGCAUGAGGGANA